RNAcentral lists this ribosomal RNA (472 nucleotides) under uncultured bacterium. Its description in RNAcentral is "bacterial SSU rRNA". It matches the Rfam family "Bacterial small subunit ribosomal RNA", at positions 355 to 825 of the family's 1533-position model. The record is from RNAcentral.
UGGGGAAUAUUGGACAAUGGGCGAAAGCCUGAUCCAGCCAUGCCGCGUGUGUGAAGAAGGUCUUCGGAUUGUAAAGCACUUUAAGUUGGGAGGAAGGGCCAUUACCUAAUACGUGAUGGUUUUGACGUUACCGACAGAAUAAGCACCGGCUAACUCUGUGCCAGCAGCCGCGGUAAUACAGAGGGUGCAAGCGUUAAUCGGAAUUACUGGGCGUAAAGCGCGCGUAGGUGGUUUGUUAAGUUGGAUGUGAAAUCCCCGGGCUCAACCUGGGAACUGCAUUCAAAACUGACAAGCUAGAGUAUGGUAGAGGGUGGUGGAACUUCCUGUGUAGCGGUGAAAUGCGUAGAUAUAGGAAGGAACACCAGUGGCGAAGGCGACCACCUGGACUGAUACUGACACUGAGGUGCGAAAGCGUGGGGAGCAAACAGGAUUAGAUACCCAGGUAGUCCCUGAGCGGGCUGGCAAGGCGCAU